RNAcentral lists this ribosomal RNA (253 nucleotides) under uncultured bacterium. RNAcentral describes it as "partial 16S ribosomal RNA". It matches the Rfam family "Bacterial small subunit ribosomal RNA", at positions 524 to 776 of the family's 1533-position model. The record is from RNAcentral.
UACGGAGGGGACUAGCGUUGUUCGGAAUUACUGGGCGUAAAGCGCACGUAGGCGGAUUUGUUAGUCAGGGGUGAAAUCCCGAGGCUCAACCUCGGAACUGCCUUUGAUACUGCAAAUCUCGAGUCCGGAAGAGGUGAGUGGAAUUCCUAGUGUAGAGGUGAAAUUCGUAGAUAUUAGGAGGAACACCAGUGGCGAAGGCGAGUCUCUGGCACGCAUCUGACGCUGAAACACGAAAGCCAGGGGAGCGAACGGG